ACGAUUGAGAGAGGCGAGUACGUUGAGAGAGCGAGUGAAGUGAGAGAGGAGGACGAUGAAGCAUUGCUGUUACUUUUGUUUUUAUUGUUUUUUUUGUUUUUUUUAGUCUUAACCAAACAAAUCUUUAAGAUAUAAAAGACUAUAAAGAAUAUAAUAUGUUUAGUUUUUUUAAUAGUAUAUUAAUGAUUAUUAAUGGCAGGGUUAAUUAGGGUAGUCUUUUUUAUUAUUUAGUUUUUUAUUUUAUUUCUUUUUUUUAGUUUAUCUUAGUUUAUAUAUUUAAGUUAGUAUUAAAAUAUCAGUUAGUUAAUAAGUGGCUUGGUGGAGAGGAGUGACUUCUAGAUCUUUAGGGUAGUGGGUUUGAUACUCCUAGGCGUAGUUUUUCUUUCUUUUAUUAUAUUUAGGCUUUAUUAUUCAUAUUUCUUUUUUUAUUUAUU
RNAcentral lists this long non-coding RNA (434 nucleotides) under Lathyrus oleraceus (garden pea). Its description in RNAcentral is "Pisum sativum (pea) long non-coding RNA (PSAT_LNC027794)". Lineage: Eukaryota; Viridiplantae; Streptophyta; Magnoliopsida; Fabales; Fabaceae. The record is from RNAcentral.